AUUGAACGCUGGCGGCAUGCCUUACACAUGCAAGUCGAACGGUAACGGGCCUUCGGGUGCCGCCGAGUGGCGAACGGGUGAGUAAUACAUCGGAACGUGCCCGAUCGUGGGGGAUAACGAGGCGAAAGCUUUGCUAAUACCGCAUACGAUCUACGGAUGAAAGCAGGGGGCCGCAAGGCCUUGCGCGGACGGAGCGGCCGAUGGCAGAUUAGGGAGUUGGUGGGGUAAAAGCUUACCAAGCCGACGAUCUGUAGCUGGUCUGAGAGGAUGAUCAGCCCCACUGGGACUGGGACACGGCCCAGACUCCUACGGGAGGCAGCAGUGGGGAAUUUUGGACAAUGGGCGCAAGCCUGAUCCAGCCAUGCCGCGUGCAGGCUGAAGGCCUUCGGGUUGUAAACUGCUUUUGUACGGAACGAAAAGCCUUCUUUUAAUACAGGAGGGUCAUGACGGUACCGUAAGAAUAAGCACCGGCUAACUACGUG
RNAcentral lists this ribosomal RNA (482 nucleotides) under uncultured bacterium. RNAcentral's name for it is "partial 16S ribosomal RNA". It matches the Rfam family "Bacterial small subunit ribosomal RNA", at positions 30 to 507 of the family's 1533-position model. The record is from RNAcentral.